This 425-nucleotide ribosomal RNA is filed under the name uncultured bacterium. RNAcentral describes it as "partial 16S ribosomal RNA". It matches the Rfam family "Bacterial small subunit ribosomal RNA", at positions 354 to 796 of the family's 1533-position model. The record is from RNAcentral.
GUGGGGAAUCUUAGACAAUGGGGGCAACCCUGAUCUAGCCAUGCCGCGUGAGUGAUGAAGGCCUUAGGGUCGUAAAGCUCUUUCGCCGGGGAAGAUAAUGACUGUACCCGGUAAAGAAACCCCGGCUAACUCCGUGCCAGCAGCCGCGGUAAUACGGAGGGGGUUAGCGUUGUUCGGAAUUACUGGGCGUAAAGCGCGCGUAGGCGGAUCGGAAAGUUGGGGGUGAAAUCCCGGGGCUCAACCCCGGAAUUGCCUUCAAAACUCCCGGUCUUGAGGUCGAGAGAGGUGAGUGGAAUUCCGAGUGUAGAGGUGAAAUUCGUAGAUAUUCGGAGGAACACCAGUGGCGAAGGCGGCUCACUGGCUCGAUACUGACGCUGAGGUGCGAAAGCGUGGGGAGCAAACAGGAUUAGAAACCCGUGUAGUCC